UUCCGUCUCAAACGGCCCACUGUAAUUCUGUCUCAUGUCUCAAAUGGCUCAAUGUAAUUCACCUCCACACCAGUCUGUGCGCUGUGCGCGCCCUGCUGGUUAAUCUGCUACGCUAUCAUCUUUCUUCCCUCUCCCCUGCCUUCACUGCUUUAAUUUUGAAAAAUUGGCGGUGGCAGGUGAGUCUGUGGAAUUAUGAGUCGGAAAGCUUCCGAAGUAUGCAAGUAUUUUAAGCCAAGUUGUGAUAAAAGAGUGGUCUGUUACACCGUGCCAAACGUCGCUGGCUUAUCACGGGAGCACAACGACAAUGCACGAGCAUCUCAAACGAAAACACUCGGGAGUUAUUGACGAUACACCCACAGAGAAUAGGACAACUUUUCAUGCCAUGAUCACUGGGGCGGAAACCAUUAUGACGUUGCCUUGGACAUCAAACUAAACCAUCUCAUUCUCGCUUUUUUCUAACAUCGAAAUCUCAGAAGGCCAGGACUAAGAUGGACGCAGCCUCCACAUGCAACCUUGCAUUUGAGGAACACCCAUAGAACGGAGAAAGUCAUGGGUUCUGCUGCUGAGAAUUCUGGCUUGAUGUUUGGUCCACCUGUUAGCUGGCUCUGGUGCUUGGUAGUCUUCUCAAACCUCUGAAUCAAGGCCACCAUGAGAGGCCUUCUGAAGACCAUCAUUACGCUUCAGAUCCAGUUGUCUUAACUAUGAGAUAGAACUGAACUGGAGUCUGUGAACUAAUGCUGUGUUCGAGACAACUGGAACAGCAAACAAAGUUGAGUAUCCGACCUCUCAACUUGUGACUGAUCGAUCAGCACCAACCUCAACGAGAUGCAUCAUUUGACAUUGCAGACAAGAUCCUUUCUCUUUUUAAUGCAGCACUUAAGGAUGAACCACCCUGAUCUACUAAGAUGCACAGAUUCAACUCUGGCCCAGCAUCAUCCCCACACCUCAUCUGCCAUCAGUUUAAUUUAAUGUCUGUCAAUUGCAAAUGCUAUUUAUUUCAGUUAUAUUACAACUUAAUGUUAACUUUAAUUGAGACUAGUAUUGUGUAAAGCUGGGGUUUCCAAACUUUUCAUUUCAAAACCUAUUAGACAAGUGUAAUCUAUUCUAGACCCACUAAAAUAUUUUUACAUAUACAUUUUUUUAAUGGGGUAAAACACAUUUGUUCUCUUUCAGUGGAGUCAUUUUAUUUUCAUAAUAUUUCAUAAUGUAAAGCAGUGGUUCUAAACGUUAUUCCUCGAGGCCCAUUGCUCUGCACAUUUUGUAUGUCUCUUUUAUCUGACAGACUCAGUUCAGUUCAUUGAGAUCUCUUCUAAUGAGCUGAUGAUUUGAAUCAGGUGUGUUAAAUAAGGGAGACAUACAAAAUGUGCAGGGCAGUGGGCCUCGAGGAAUAACAUUAAGAACCACUGAUGUAAAGUAAAUACAAGUUUAUUUGCAAUACCAAAUAUUUUAUGGUAUAUUCUUUCAAAACCAUUGUCAUUGUUAAUUAUUAAUUUGGCCAAACUGUUGUUGCAUCAUUAAGGUGUGCAACACACCUUAACCUACUGUGUGACCGACAAGUGGGUCCUCCUGACCCACAGUUUAAAAUCCCCUGGUGUACUGAAUGUAUUGUAAUUAAAGUCGCAUCUAAGUCUUG
Paramisgurnus dabryanus is the source of this 1633-nucleotide non-coding RNA. NCBI's taxonomy places the organism in Eukaryota, Metazoa, Chordata, Actinopteri, Cypriniformes, Cobitidae. The record is from RefSeq and is a predicted model, not a curated record.